CCUACGGCGGCAGCAGUGGGGAAUAUUGGACAAUGGGCGAAAGCCUGAUCCAGCCAUGCCGCGUGUGUGAAGAAGGCCUUCGGGUUGUAAAGCACUUUCAGUGGGGAAGAAAGCCUUGGGGCUAAUACCCUCGAGGAAGGACAUCACCCACAGAAGAAGCACCGGCUAACUCCGUGCCAGCAGCCGCGGUAAUACGGAGGGUGCGAGCGUUAAUCGGAAUUACUGGGCGUAAAGCGCGCGUAGGCGGUCUGAUAAGCCGGUUGUGAAAGCCCCGGGCUCAACCUGGGAACGGCAUCCGGAACUGUCAGGCUAGAGUUCAGGAGAGGAAGGUAGAAUUCCCGGUGUAGCGGUGAAAUGCGUAGAGAUCGGGAGGAAUACCAGUGGCGAAGGCGGCCUUCUGGACUGACACUGACGCUGAGGUGCGAAAGCGUGGGUAGCAAACAGGAUUAGAUACCCGAGUAGUC
Molecule: ribosomal RNA, 464 nt
Filed under: Vreelandella stevensii
Lineage: Bacteria; Pseudomonadati; Pseudomonadota; Gammaproteobacteria; Oceanospirillales; Halomonadaceae
Description: partial 16S ribosomal RNA
Rfam family: Bacterial small subunit ribosomal RNA
Source: RNAcentral